GACGAACGCUGGCGGCGUGCUUAACACAUACAAGUCGAGCGAUGAAGUUUCUUCGGAAAUGGAUUAGCGGCGAACAGGUGAGGAACACGUGAAGAAUCUGCCCUCCACUUUGGGAUAACACAGGGAAACCUGUGCUAAUACCGAAUAUUGAAACAUAAGUGGCAUCACUGAGUUCUGAAAGAAUUUCGGUGGAGGAUGACUUCGCGGCCUAUCAGCUAGUUGGUGAGGUAAUGGCUCACCAAGGCAACGACGGGUAGCCGGCCUGAGAGGGCGACCGGCCACACUGGGACUGAGACACGGCCCAGACUCCUACGGGAGGCAGCAGUGGGGAAUAUUGGGCAAUGGAGGAAACUCUGACCCAGCGACGCCGCGUGCGGGAUGAAGGCCUUCGGGUUGUAAACCGCUUUCAGUAGGGAAGAAGCGAAAGUGACGGUACCUACAAAAGAAGCACCGGCUAACUAUGUGCCAGCCGCCGCCGUAA
This 481-nucleotide ribosomal RNA is filed under the name uncultured bacterium. RNAcentral describes it as "partial 16S ribosomal RNA". It matches the Rfam family "Bacterial small subunit ribosomal RNA", at positions 28 to 523 of the family's 1533-position model. The record is from RNAcentral.